Tripterygium wilfordii is the source of this 1427-nucleotide long non-coding RNA. RefSeq lists it as uncharacterized. Lineage: Eukaryota; Viridiplantae; Streptophyta; Magnoliopsida; Celastrales; Celastraceae. The record is from RefSeq and is a predicted model, not a curated record. The transcript has 5 exons.
GUCAUUUGAACCACGCUGCAAAAAAAGUAGGUCUCCAUGUGCAGGGUUCAAGUUCCCAAUUUUGGAAAACCCUAGGGUUCUGAUCGCAGCGAUUUCAACUUCUUUCACAGCCAAGUUUGGAAAUGCCUACACUCACCUGAUUUCUUUCGCAGCGUUAUCGGAGUGAUUUCUUUCAGAGCCUAUUUUGCUGCAAGGCUACGCCCACUGUGGUAUCAAUUGUCGCCGUAGAACAAGCGCUGUCAUUGGCAAUAUUACCUGUUUCAUCCCUCUCCACUAUGGAUACAGUGAAUGAAUCGUCUCUGACAGGCACAUCGAAGUUGAGUUUCGUGACAUCCACCGGCGGUGGUCGCCUGUCUUCCCCCUUGUGUAGUUUACGAUCCAAGCAUAACAAUGGUCCAAGGGCCAAACCUCGAACGCAUGAGCAGUAAAAGCCCUAAUUAAAAUCCAACCGCCAUGGUGAUUGGCGCCCCGGCAACUUGUUAAACAGAUCAAGUGAUCAACUGAGAAACAAGCGAUUAAACUUUAGAUGACAUAUCUGCAGAACACACCGUUGAUCGUCGGGUUUCGCAAUAUUGAUUCUGCGUGCAACUACAGUUUCAGCUGGAGUAGUUCAAAGAAAUUACUCUCUCUUUUUUCCCUUAUGGGUAAGUGGGGAGGGGUUCAAAAUAUGAUGUCGCUAGAUCUACUGGACUAUUUCGUCAUUGUACUAGUAUAACACUGAUGCACGCGUGAUGUGUGACCUGGGGUAGUCUGUUUCAAAAGUUUUAUCAUCUCCGCGUGUCAAACUAAGGAGGGGCUGGACCAAACUCCGCUAUGUUACGGGCGGGAUCGUAGUGGAAUCCGGAAUUGUCUGUUACCUAAUCUUUCAUUUUUGCCCUAGUGAGACAAAUCCUUCUCUCUUUCGCGGUCUCCCUCUCUCGAAACGGAUGCGAAGCUUCAAUGGCGUCUAGGUACCUGGUGGCGUCUCUUCUGUUCAAGUCUCAGUGUCUUCUCAAUGGAGUGGUCUACGAGAAUUGAUCUCUAGUUAAAUAUUCGAAAUCUCCGUGUCGUACCUGCAUCAUCUGCUUACGCUCGACGAUGAUCCCUCAAAGUGGUCGUUUCGCAAAGAUCAGGUGAAAGAUGGAGGAGUUGGACAGGGUUUCGGAAGUGGAGAACAGUGCCAUAACUGUUGAUGGUGUGCCUACUUUCCUAUAUCUUGCUAUUUAAUUGUUAACAACUGUAUGCAAUUCACGGAAUAUUGCUGGUGUGAGUUUGAGUGUGAGUGUGACAUUUGUUUUUGGUGUUAUUCACUGAAUUUUGUGCUGUGAUGUUGGAUUGGUAUGUAACAAAGCAAAGUAUCCAACACUGCCUCUGUUAAAAGAGAUGGUGGAUAGCAUUCAUGGUCUAGUUGCAAAGAUUGAGGAUAACCUCAAGAUGAUGUUUGUUUC